RNAcentral lists this ribosomal RNA (31 nucleotides) under Malassezia furfur. RNAcentral's name for it is "partial 28S ribosomal RNA". Lineage: Eukaryota; Fungi; Basidiomycota; Malasseziomycetes; Malasseziales; Malasseziaceae. The record is from RNAcentral.
UUCGGCUCAGAUCAGGUAGGGAUACCCGCUG